Molecule: ribosomal RNA, 250 nt
Filed under: uncultured bacterium
Lineage: Bacteria
Description: partial 16S ribosomal RNA
Rfam family: Bacterial small subunit ribosomal RNA
Source: RNAcentral
AACGGACGGAGAGCAGCGAACCCGCGAGGGCGAGCGAACCUCAAAAACCGUUUCUCAGUUCGGAUUGCAGGCUGCAACUCGCCUGCAUGAUCUCUUAUAGCAGAGAGUAAUCGCAGGUCAGCAUACUGCGGUGAAUACGUUCCCGGGUCUUGUACACACCGCCCGUCACACCCCUGAGUCGUCCACACCCGAAGCCGGCGCAGCCGUCUAAGGUGGGGAAUAUAAUGGGGAAGUCGUAACAAGGUAGCCG